Molecule: microRNA precursor, 84 nt
Filed under: Bombyx mori (domestic silkworm)
Lineage: Eukaryota; Metazoa; Arthropoda; Insecta; Lepidoptera; Bombycidae
Description: mir-2807 microRNA precursor family
Rfam family: mir-2807 microRNA precursor family
Source: Rfam by way of RNAcentral
UUAACUCAAAUUUGUAUGGAGUUAGAACGUUUGCCUACGUUUGCCACUAGGGGCGCUGUUCCAACUGCAUACAAGUUCGAGUUA